GAUUCCAUAGUGUAGCAGUUAGCGUGACUGCUUUACACGCAGAAGGUCCUGAGUUCACACCCCAGUGGAGCCA
RNAcentral lists this transfer RNA (73 nucleotides) under Pteropus alecto (black flying fox). It matches the Rfam family "tRNA". Rfam says of the family: Transfer RNA (tRNA) molecules are approximately 80 nucleotides in length. Their secondary structure includes four short double-helical elements and three loops (D, anti-codon, and T loops). The record is from Rfam by way of RNAcentral. Lineage: Eukaryota; Metazoa; Chordata; Mammalia; Chiroptera; Pteropodidae.